RNA transcript from Amphiprion ocellaris (clown anemonefish), 7925 nucleotides. It is a transcript of the gene named solute carrier family 25 member 26, with no coding region annotated. The transcript is spliced from 11 exons. NCBI's taxonomy places the organism in Eukaryota, Metazoa, Chordata, Actinopteri, Pomacentridae. The record is from RefSeq and is a predicted model, not a curated record.
GGAAGUAGUUCGGCAAAGAUGGCUGCGUCCUUGAUAGGCAUGUUUUGAUUUCAGUGAAGUGUCAGACAUGCACAGCAGUUGCAGUUUUACGGGUUACAAGACUGUCAAGGAUUUAUUUUGAGAGCGGAACAUGGAGAGACGAGAGUUCGUCGCGUCUCUGGUGGCAGGAGGCUGUGCAGGGAUGUGUGUCGAUCUGACCCUGUUCCCCCUGGACACCAUUAAGACCAGACUGCAGAGUCAGCAGGGCUUCUACAAGGCUGGGGGCUUUAGGGGCAUCUAUGCUGGGGUCCCAUCUGCUGCUGUUGGCUCCUUCCCCAAUGCCGCUGCUUUCUUUGUCACCUACGAUUGCACAAAGUCCCUUCUCAGCGCCGGCGGAGCGUUUGCAGCACCACAUGUGGCACCUAUCACUCACAUGCUGGCCGCCUCCCUGGGAGAAAUAGUGGCGUGUCUGAUCCGGGUGCCCACAGAGGUGGUCAAACAGAGGACCCAAGCCUCGCCCUCAUCCACCACCUACAACAUGUUGCUGGCAACGCUCAGAGAAGAGGGUGUUCGAGGCUUGUACAGAGGAUAUGGCAGCACAGUUCUCAGAGAGAUCCCCUUCUCACUGGUGCAGUUUCCACUUUGGGAAUACUUAAAGGCGCGGUCGCGGCGUUUGUUACAACUCCUCUUGACGUGGCGAAGACCAGGAUCAUGCUCGCAAAGGCCGGGUCGACCACAGCGAGCGGCAACAUCCCGCUGGUUCUCUACGAUGUGUGGAGGAGUCGAGGCCUUCCAGGUCUGUUUGCAGGCAGCAUACCGAGGAUGGCCUUCAUCAGCAUUGGCGGUUUCAUCUUCCUGGGAGCCUACGAGAAGGUCCGACGCACUUUGUUGUCGCAGAAAAUCCACUCUGACUGUCCUUAGCCUCGACGCGUUGGAGGAACAGCGGGGAAAGUGUGUCUGGAAGCAGCACCUUCUGGAUGAGCCUUUGCACCUCCAUGCUGCUGGGCCCCGAUUAGCAAUUAGCACUUGAUGCUAAGAGGAGGAGUCAUUAAUGACUGCAUUACCCAGAGUGCUGCAUUCCUGCCCGUUAGUGCUCUGUGGUCUGAGUUGAACAGACUUCUGUGGCAGCAUCAGCGAUUUGUUCAAAUGAAAGCUUUGUUAAACAAGAUCUGCACUGACUAGCAUCUGUAUUUUUUAAUGUAUGUGUGAGUGAACGAGUAUUAAAGACUGUCUGUUUGUAUUCUGUGAGUGAGGUUUGGUGAUUUCUUUGGCUCCCAGUGGAACUCAACGGGUUCCAGUCUUACAAGUUUAAUGAUCAUUUUAAUGAUUCAUCCAUAUUUUCUUCUCUCCAUUAAGUUAAGCCACCUGUGGAAAAGACCCACCGGGGAGACAGUAAUAUCUCACUAUUGUUAGAUUCCUGCAGGACCACAGCUCAGAUCAUCCACCUGCUGAAGAGUUUUUUUUCCCUUAAGACGUCUCCAACAACAGAACACCUUGUUAAAUUAAUAAUGCUUUAGCUUUAUCUAGAGUCUUGGGGGUUUUACUUGGAGCUUUUUAAAUGACGGUUCUAGAUUUAGCUGUCAUGGCUUUAUUGUGAAAAAUGUAAUUGGCUGGAAAAGCUUCUCCAGCGUUGAUGGUGAUAAUCAAAUCAUUUCCAGUGUUUCUCUCCUGUUCCUCGCACAGUUUGCUGUGAACAUUGUGAGCUUGCAUGCCAAGAAACUUCAUGUCUUUUAAACAAAGUUAGAAAAGAAGAAAAAACUCAAAGAAUAAAAGAAAGAAAUUAGAGUAAAUUAUAAGUAUAUAGUAAUUAAGUCACAUGGUCCCUGCGGGCAAGGCACCCGCGGGCUCUUUUUCCAGUAUUAAAUCUUGUUGAGAGCUUCCAGUCUAUGAGAGCUAACUAGUUAGCCACUAGUAAAACGCUAAGGCGAGCUAGCAGCUUGACAACCAAAUACCAGACGAUUAAUAGUAGCUGUAGUAUAGUUGUACAAGCAGUAGUAGUAAUACUAAAAGUACAAGCAGUAGUAGUAGUAUAAACAGCUGUUAGUCGUAGAAGUAGUAUCAGCAUUUGUAAUAGUAUUACAAGUUGUAGUAGCAGUGCCAGUAUCAGCAGCAGUAGUUAGUGUACUACCACUACUACUAGUAGUAGUCACAUUGCUAUUACUACCACCAAUACUACCAAUAGUAGUUAUAAAGCCUAACUCAUGUAUAUCCAGAUUACCAUCUAUGUUCUUCCUCCAAACCCAUUUUAUGAUUGGGAUUACAGGCAGUUCUUUAGGACUGCUCUCAAAUAAUUGAAAUGUUACUAAACAAGGUUAUACUUAUCAAAUUAAAUAGCUCUGGUCUCCAGUAUAUUGGCGAAUUCGGUUCUUUGUACUUAAUUUAUUAGCAUGAUUUCUUUUCAAUAUGUUGUGUACAGACUUAAUUACUUCUCUGUCUACUUUUCUUACUCCAUGUAGUUGAGGAGGAAUUGGAAGUUUGUCGGCUUAGACCUGGUGUCAUUCCAUCAGUGUUAAACUUCCCAGCUCAUCUUGGAAGAGUACGUGCCACAAAGACCACAACCAAGCAGCCUUGAGAUCUUAGACAGCGUCUCCCUGAGGUCCCUCUCUAUCUCCCCACACAUCCACCAACCACUGGAACACAUCUCCAAAGUUCUGCCGGGCCAGCUCAGCUUCCCCUCAGAAGAAGUGCUGCCACCUGCCAGAUGAAGGAGCCUUUUGAGAGGCAGCUGGCAUCGUGAUUGGACUGUACUUUGGUCUGUUCCAAUCCAGCUUCAGCUCCAGAGACGGCAGGCAGGACGAGUCAACGGAGGCCUGGUGGACGAAGGCAUGCAGCUGAGUACAAUCCAGAAAACAACAGAGGAGGAGUGCAGCAGCCCAGUAUAGCCUUCGACCAAAGAACUACAGACUCUUUACAACCUGCUCAAACUCUUGGUACAGGACCUCACCACACGGGUCAAGAAGGUUUCCGUCUCAUUUCUACUCUGAAGCUCACCUUCUCCUGCUCAAACUGCUGACAAAUGUUUCUGCUGCUCUAAAGUCUGGUCUCCAGAACUUCCUAAAAACUCUCAAAGUCUCUUCUGCUGCAGGUUGCUUUGUAGAACUGUUCCAGAAAACCUCACUAAACCACAUGGAGGGGCCUCAAGAUAGUCGUCCAAAUGAAACCGUACAAAAACCAAACUAACACAACCCAAACACUAAAGUCUCCUGCAGCCUACCAGAGAAGCUCUGAGAACAGAGAAUCAGGACAGGAACUCUUACCUUCUGGACAACCAACGCUGGUUCACAAACAAGAAUACAGAAUGUGUCUGACCAAAAACCUCUAAAGACUCACUACAGCCAAGAUAAAGACACAACUCAGCUGCACCAAAUCCACUAAUUACUGCACACAUUAGCACCAUGUGCUAACUGUGGCUAAAGAACCACAUUUACCAAGACAACUAUCCAGUACAAAGCCCUAAAACACACCAAGAAACACAUUAAAGAUGAUUUUACUGCUGGAAGCUGCAAGCCAACGCCUAAAGAACAAACUAGAGCAAUGGAGCCAAACCCAGUUCAGUGGUGAAGAGAAUCAGAGGAAAUGUUUGUCUGCAGCCACAUAAAGCAGGAAGACACUGAGCUGCUCAGGUGUUCCUAAUAACACCAAGCAGCCACCUGGACAGCCAAUAGGAACACAGCCACCUGGACAGCCAAUAGGAACACAGCUUACUGGAAGUCCAGAGGGCUGGGCUAGUGAAGGAAAUUUAGUUUAAAGUUGAAGCAGAAAGUUAACAAAGAAAGUUGAAAACCACCUUCUGAUACCUGAAAUCUCUGAGUUUUCACACAAAGAACACCUGAACAUGUCAAACUGGUUCCAUAGUAGAACCAUCAUUGUAAAAACGUCAUAGUAUGGUGUGUUGCUCAAAAAACAUUAUGACCCAGCUGUCAGGGGACAAACAUGUAAGAAACAUGAGAACAGAGAGAACCCAACCAGUAGGUCACAGUUUAUCAUCCCCCAGUCAUCUCCUGAAGUCCAUAUGGUGAGAGACAUCAGUAUCUGGUUGUUAAUUUACCAGAGGAUGCUUAUAAUCAUGCUGAUGUGGUCUGUACUCUACAAUAUUUUAGUGACUCAAUAAAUGCCUAAGUUGUUAUUUUUUUUAAAUGCUUUUUAGUUUUUAAUAAACAUUUAACAGCCUAUAUGUGAUCAAUAAAUGGCCUUUGCCUAUCUUAAGAAAAAUUCACUCAGAACUCUGAUAUGUUAACAGUACUAAAUAAAUCAAUAAAUACAUGCAUACACACAUAAAUAAGUUAAUACAUUAACUGUGUUAAGAUAAGAUUUAGAUUUUUAAAAAAGUUGUUUAUGUUUUUGCAGAAUCCAGUAUUACUCACUGGUUGGUCAUUACAUUUUGUUAGUUUGAUUUCACUGUUUAAAAUGAUGCCACCUCUUUUCAGACAGAACCUGUGAUAAUAAAACAAUACAAAAUUUUUAGUUCCGUGUUAAUAAAGCACUUAAAGCUUUAAGUAUGGCUAAAUGCUUUUUUCAGAAUUAAAUAUAUCACUCCUUAGGUGGUAGUGACCCCAAGUUCAGUAAAGUUGGAAAGAUAUUCACAGAUUCGGACUUCCAGCAUCAAUAACUCGUUAGAUAUAGGUUGUCAAAACAUAAACGGUGCCUCUUUCCCAUUGUUGCAAGGCAGACAAUGUGCCACAAGCCCAGUUUUAUCAAAAGUAGCUGUCUUUCAAGCUACAGGAAUAACAUUGGUGUCUAUGGAGUGAACAGGGUCCGUCUGCAAUUUGCAAAACCGCUGCAACAGUAAAGAGAGACAAAUAUUCAAUAACUUCACUCUUAUACAUUGUAGUGUCACUAAAAUCACUGCAGCCUUCAACUGGCUCCUGUUGACAAAGUGUUUUAACAGAAAUGUAAAUGCUGUAAUUUGAUUCUUUUAAUGAACCAUGUAACUUGAAUGGAUGUGAUGCUGGUGUGACCACAGUGCACACGUCUGAUGUUGCUCACAGUGGUCCAAGGGACGCUCAGGGAGUUUGUGUGUUUGCUCAGACUCAUGGAAAAUUAGAGGGAACAUUGUUGCCAAUGUAACUUCUUAAUGCACUCUUUCAAAAUACUGCAGCUCCUCUUUCUGAGACUCACCAACAGACCAGUGAUGAUGCAUAAUUGGCUGUGCAUUUCCAAGAACAUGAUACUGAUCGUCAUUCUCUAGGUAAUGAACUGUAGGAGGCUUCACCAAACUGAGUGCAUCUUCCAACAGCUUGAUGACAACUUGCACCACAGUGUAGUGCUUUUGACCCAUGCUGCAUUCCUUAUAUUGAUCCAGUGUUUCAUUUUCUCUCAGUUUCUCUGAUUUGUUUUGAUGCUUGUCUCCUGUGUGCUCUAAGUAACUGUUGAUUGCAGCUGAGUCAGUAAAGGCUUGUCAGUUGUGGUUAAGAGCCAAAGAAUUUUUUGUUUUUAAAGCAUUGGUUAAUUUAGAUGGCUCAGUUUUCAAAAAAUGAGACAAGUACAAAAUCACAGUUACAAGCUUAGAUUUGGUGAAUUUUCCUGAUGGAACCACAUGAUUCGUCCAAAGCAGUCGGAAAGUUUCUGACAAUUCUUAAAAUUUCUGGCCGAAGAAUAGUUUUGAAUUUGGCACUUUAAAAGAAUAACAUGCCUUUCAAAUCCACCAGCACAUUCACAUAUUGUAAAAUAGUGUCAUUAAAGGGACAAUACGCUAAAAUUCACACAUUUUUCCUUGUAAUGAUGUUUAGCCACACAAGAUAGUUUUGUUUUUGUUUUUUUUUUAAAGUAAAUCAACUAAUCCUGAGACGUAACACAUUUAAUUCUGUUUUUGAUCUCUUUGAUUAAAGCGUUGAUUUUCGACUCUUUGACCAUUGAACAGUUUGUAAUGCUGCCAUGGGGUUCUCUGGGUUUCAUUUCACACUGGGUAUGUCUGAGAUGAGUUCUGCACUGUUAUCCAAGACUGGUUACAAGAUUAAGAAAUGACUCCUCUACAUCUUAUUGAAGGAUUAUCUAACUGGCAUAUGGAAGAACAGUUAAGCUCAGUAUCGGUGUGCUUCUCGUCUUCUUGUUUUCAGCGAGUUAACGCCGCUGUCCUUCAGCAGUCAGUCCAGAGGUAAAAGCGAACACUUGGUAAAUCCUGGCGGGGGCAGAGGGAGACGGAUGGCCUCACAGGUGGGACUGUUUGUCACGCUGCUUGUCACUAGGCUGUUGAACAACAAUGGCCACAUGUGAUUGGUGGAGGCCACGGCGAGGGCCAUGUCAAUCAUUUGGUGACAAACAUCCAUCUGGAAUGCACAUUCUGACCCUCCAGUCAGCCCCGACUCAAUAGCAAAUAUUUUAAACAGCCUGCAGAACGAAAAAAUAUGCCUGCUGUCUUUGGAGCUUUAAGGAGCCAGGAGACAUUCCUGGUUGGAAGAUUAGUUUUGUGUGUGCGACUAUGUGUGCGUUUGUGGUUCAGGCACAAGCUCCUUCGCUGCUUUGAAGAUCAAGGUCUCUGGAUUUCAUGUUUUUGUGCAUGCUCCAUUGGAAUUGAUGGCUUCUCCAUAACCGCCGUGACAUGAGACCAUCGCUAAACGCUAACUCAGCUGUUUGUGAUGCUGUUGUGACAAAUCAUCCGUUCUUUGUGUGUGUGGGGUUUUUUUUAUGAGUGAUAAAAACAGGCGCAACAUGGGUAAUAAUAGCAAAAUGUGAUUUUAUUAGACACUUCAAUGCCAUGUUAGACACUUCACUGUUUUAGCUUUGACAUCGGUACAACGGUUUCAGACAGUUUGUUUCAAUAAAUUACUCAGAACGGUGGCUGACUCCCUGUUGUCUCUUUUACACUGGGGUUGCUUUUCCAGCAGGAUCUCUGAUUGGUCUUGCUGGUAUAAACAUCUCUGAUAGGUGCUAUCAGGUGUAACCAGAGGAGCGUGUCCUCCAGCUUACCUUGAUAAGGCCACUGGUUACAGAACACAGUUCAGAUUGAGGGGGAAAAAAACACAUUCAGACAUGAGACAAUGUAACUUCUUUGACUGAUUUCUGACCCAGUGUAUCCAGGGAUUGUGACAGUGUGGGGAGCGUGCCACUGCAUUAAUCCUCCAUGUUUAGUUAGAGCACAUUUCAUAAGCUUCCCGAGUGUUAACAGCAUGAAGCUGUACCUUUAGGUACCUCAAACAUGAAACGAUGAGGUCGAAUACUGGCCAUUUGGAUGCAUAUUACAGCAGUAACACAAUGACAACAUCAUUCUCCCUCUUUCUUAAAUUCAUAGCAUCGGAAUUGUAAGAUUAAGCAUUCAAUCAAUUAAAUGUCAACGCUCUGGGGCACACAUUUGAUUAUGAAUGUGACAGGUGUCACACUGAGAUUAUUACUGGCUUCCAAACAACAGCUGUGAGCAGCAGUUUGACCACAUUCGGUUGCCGACUUGUGCCAAAGUCGCUUUCUGGGACAAAUUAAGAGCCCAAGUUAAAUAAGAGAAGCAUUUAUCUGAACUAGAUCAGAGCAGAUUUGCAGUAAUGUGUAGUAUUGUGAAACUGGUGGAAGAGCCUUAAUGGUACAGUAUGUACUGUUAACUUUGCAUGUCAAAAUAUGUGGAAUGUCUCCUCACACUGAGGAGGUUCCUGCAUUCCUGUUAGCAGAUCAUAUACACAAUCUGCUUGUUCAUGAAGCGACUAUAAAAAGUGCUUUAACUGACCGUCCACAAAUACCCCACCUCGCACCAACUAACGUACCAAAAUAACUUACAUCAAAGCUCUUCCUUCAUACAAUGCAUGUGAAUUGUGUUUCUGUAAGGCCAUAGCUGGCAGCGUUUAUCGGAGAAAAAAAAAAGCAUUCAAGUGCAAUCAAGUGUUUUGUUUGCUAUAAAAAGUGUACCAGUAUCUGUCACAAAAAUGUCUCUUGAUAUAUGCAAUUACAAGUUGAGUUUCUUUGAUCAUGCAAUAAGGCACCACAGCUGAAUGUUGGUAAAAGCUGAAAAAGGCUGUUUUUUU